CAAAAUGUAGCUUAAACAAAGCAUCUCGCUUACACCGAGAAAAUGCCUGAUAAAAUCAGACCAUUUUGA
Molecule: transfer RNA, 69 nt
Filed under: Boana boans (rusty treefrog)
Lineage: Eukaryota; Metazoa; Chordata; Amphibia; Anura; Hylidae
Description: tRNA-Val
Rfam family: tRNA
About the family: Transfer RNA (tRNA) molecules are approximately 80 nucleotides in length. Their secondary structure includes four short double-helical elements and three loops (D, anti-codon, and T loops).
Source: RNAcentral